AGCCGCGGUAAUACGUAGGGUGCAAGCGUUAUCCGGAAUUAUUGGGCGUAAAGAGCUCGUAGGCGGUUUGUCGCGUCUGCUGUGAAAUCCCGAGGCUCAACCUCGGGCCUGCAGUGGGUACGGGCAGACUAGAGUGCGGUAGGGGAGAUUGGAAUUCCUGGUGUAGCGGUGGAAUGCGCAGAUAUCAGGAGGAACACCGAUGGCGAAGGCAGAUCUCUGGGCCGUAACUGACGCUGAGGAGCGAAAGGGUGGGGAGCAAACAGGCUUAGAUACCCUGGUAGUCCACCCCGUAAACGUUGGGAACUAGUUGUGGGGUCCUUUCCACGGAUUCCGUGACGCAGCUAACGCAUUAAGUUCCCCGCCUGGGGAGUACGGCCGCAAGGCUAAAACUCAAAGGAAUUGACGGGGACCCGCACAAGCGGCGGAGCAUGCGGAUUAAUUCGAUGCAACGCGAAGAACCUUACCAAGGCUUGACAUACACGAGAACGGGCCAGAAAUGGUCAACUCUUUGGACACUCGUGAACAGGUGGUGCAUGGUUGUCGUCAGCUCGUGUCGUGAGAUGUUGGGUUAAGUCCCGCAACGAGCGCAACCCUCGUUCUAUGUUGCCAGCACGUAAUGGUGGGAACUCAUGGGAUACUGCCGGGGUCAACUCGGAGGAAGGUGGGGAUGACGUCAAAUCAUCAUGCCCCUUAUGUCUUGGGCUUCACGCAUGCUACAAUGGCCGGUACAAAGGGCUGCAAUACCGUGAGGUGGAGCGAAUCCCAAAAAGCCGGUCCCAGUUCGGAUUGAGGUCUGCAACUCGACCUCAUGAAGUCGGAGUCGCUAGUAAUCGCAGAUCAGCAACGCUGCGGUGAAUACGUUCCCGGGUCUUGUACACACCGCCCGU
RNAcentral lists this ribosomal RNA (887 nucleotides) under Microbacterium sp. SD-9. RNAcentral describes it as "bacterial SSU rRNA". It matches the Rfam family "Bacterial small subunit ribosomal RNA", at positions 513 to 1397 of the family's 1533-position model. The record is from RNAcentral. Lineage: Bacteria; Bacillati; Actinomycetota; Actinomycetes; Micrococcales; Microbacteriaceae.